Molecule: microRNA, 22 nt
Filed under: Salmo salar (Atlantic salmon)
Lineage: Eukaryota; Metazoa; Chordata; Actinopteri; Salmoniformes; Salmonidae
Also listed under: 2 other names
Description: ssa-miR-7a-3-3p
Gene: ssa-miR-7a-3-3p
Source: miRBase by way of RNAcentral
CAACAAAUCACAGUCUGCCAAA